GUCCCGUCGGUGCGGCCUGGUUACGCACGUCCGCUUGCCACGAAAGGUAAUACGGAAGAACAUGGGUUCAAAUCCCAUACGGGGCG
This 86-nucleotide transfer RNA is filed under the name Anaerolineae bacterium. Its description in RNAcentral is "tRNA-Gly". Lineage: Bacteria; Bacillati; Chloroflexota; Anaerolineae. The record is from RNAcentral.